UUGCAGCCAAGGAAUCAUGAGCCUGACAGAAGCCUUGAACGCAUUCCAAUCUUGUGUUUGCAAGGCAUGGAAGUUCAUCAUCAGAGUUUCAGUCAUGACCAGAAAGCUCAGCCAGAAUCCUGCCAUGGGACUUGGGGUAUUACAUGCCCUAUUAGUAUCAAAUAGGACCAUAAUACCCAUUUUCCUAUUUACGGUAGCCAUUAUGGCAGCCAUCUUGGAUUUUUGCCUCUGGUGUUCCAUAUAAAUUACUUUUUAGGGCAGAAAUUAAUUUCUGGACCUCCAAAACAUACAUUUAGA
This is a long non-coding RNA of Thalassophryne amazonica, 297 nucleotides long. RefSeq lists it as uncharacterized. The record is from RefSeq and is a predicted model, not a curated record. NCBI's taxonomy places the organism in Eukaryota, Metazoa, Chordata, Actinopteri, Batrachoidiformes, Batrachoididae. The transcript is spliced from 3 exons.